GCUUGGAAGCAGCCAUUCAUUUAAAGAGUGCGUAACAGCUCACUAGUCGAGGAGUCGGGCGUGGAUAAUAAUCGGGUAUCAAGUUGUCUACCGAAGCAGUGGGAUCAUUGAUAUGAUCGGUAGGGGAGCAUUCCAGUCAGCGUCGAAGGCGUACCGUGAGGUAUUCUGGAGCGUCUGGAAAAGCAAAUGUAGGUAUAAGUAACGAUAAAGGGGGCGGGAAACCCCCUCGCCGAAAGACUAAGGUUUCCUGAUCAACGCUAAUCGGAUCAGGGUCAGUCGGGUCCUAAGGCUCAGCCGAACGGCGAUGCCGAUGGCAGAAACGGUUAAUAUUCCGUUACUACCUUCAGGAGUGACGUGGAGACGCAGUAGUGACAGUGCCGCCAUCUGACGGAAUAGAUGGUUGAAGGGUGUAGGAGUCGAUCAUGGCAGGCAAAUCCACCAUGAGAUCCGAACCUGAUAGUAUGCCGCGUCCUUCGGGACAAGGCAAUAGUGCGCGUAAGCAUGCUGCCGAGAAAAUCCGCUAAACUUAAUCCUGCAGGUACCCGUACCGCAAACGGACACACGUAGUCGGGAUGAAUAUUCUAAGGCGCUUGAGUGAUUCACGGUUAAGGAACUAGGCAAACUGACCCUGUAACUUCGGGAUAAAGGGUCCCUACCCUUUUAUGGGAGGGCGCAGAGAAUCGGUCCAGGCAACUGUUUAACAAAAACACAGGGCUGUGCCAAAUCGAAAGAUCCAGUAUACAGCCUGACACCUGCCCGGUGCUGGAAGGUUAAGAGGAGAUGUCAUCGAUAAGAGAAGCGUUGAAUUGAAGCCCCAGUAAACGGCGGCCGUAACUAUAACGGUCCUAAGGUAGCGAAAUUCCUUGUCGGGUAAGUUCCGACCUGCACGAAUGGUGUAAUGAUCUGGACGCUGUCUCAACCGUGAGCUCAGUGAAAUUGUAGUAUCGGUGAAGAUGCCGAUUACCCGCGAUGGGACGAAAAGACCCCGUGAACCUUUACUAUAGCUUAUCAUUGAAUCUGGGCACGUGAUGUGUAGGAUAGGUCGGAGGCUUUGAAGCAGGUACGCCAGUAUUUGUGGAGCCGCUGUUGAAAUACGACCCUUUAUUUGUUUGGAUUCUAACCCGUGGAUACGGGGACAUUGAUUGGUGGGUAGUUUGACUGGGGUGGUCGCCUCCAAAAGCGUAACGGAGGCUUCUAAAGGUGCCCUCCGGCCGAUUGGUAACCGGCCUUAGAGUGUAAUGGCAUAAGGGCGCUUGACUGGGAGACUAACAAGUCGAUCAGGUAGGAAACUAGAGCAUAGUGAUCCGGUGUUUCCGUAUGGAAGGGACAUCGCUCAAAGGAUAAAAGGUACUCCGGGGAUAACAGGCUGAUC
RNAcentral lists this ribosomal RNA (1372 nucleotides) under human gut metagenome. Its description in RNAcentral is "bacterial LSU rRNA". It matches the Rfam family "Bacterial large subunit ribosomal RNA", at positions 1104 to 2487 of the family's 2925-position model. The record is from RNAcentral.